RNAcentral lists this ribosomal RNA (460 nucleotides) under uncultured bacterium. RNAcentral describes it as "partial 16S ribosomal RNA". It matches the Rfam family "Bacterial small subunit ribosomal RNA", at positions 338 to 795 of the family's 1533-position model. The record is from RNAcentral.
CCUACGGGAGGCAGCAGUGAGGAAUAUUGGUCAAUGGGCGAGAGCCUGAACCAGCCAAGUCGCGUGAAGGAUGACGGCCCUACGGGUUGUACACUUCUUUUGUCAGGGAGCAAUUGGGUCCACGCGUGGGUUUAGCGAGAGUACCUGACGAAAAAGCAUCGGCUAACUCCGUGCCAGCAGCCGCGGUAAUACGUAGGAUGCGAGCGGUAUCCGGAUUUAUUGGGUUUAAAGGGUGCGUAGGCGGAAUAUCAAGUCAGCGGUAAAAAUUCGGGGCUCAACCCCGUCGUGCCGUUGAAACUGAUGUUCUUGAGUGGGCGAGAAGUAUGCGGAAUGCGUGGUGUAGCGGUGAAAUGCAUAGAUAUCACGCAGAACUCCGAUUGCGAAGGCAGCAUACCGGCGCCCAACGGACGCUGAAGCACGAAAGCGUGGGUAUCGAACAGGAUUAGAUACCCCAGUAGUC